GCUCUCAUAGUUCAAUGGAUAGAACAAUAGCCUCCUAAGCUGUAGAUCCGGGUUCGAUCCCCGGUGGGGGUA
Molecule: transfer RNA, 72 nt
Filed under: Candidatus Minthenecus merdequi
Lineage: Bacteria; Pseudomonadati; Bacteroidota; Bacteroidia; Bacteroidales; Paludibacteraceae
Description: tRNA-Arg
Rfam family: tRNA
About the family: Transfer RNA (tRNA) molecules are approximately 80 nucleotides in length. Their secondary structure includes four short double-helical elements and three loops (D, anti-codon, and T loops). Further hydrogen bonds mediate the characteristic L-shaped molecular structure. tRNAs have two regions of fundamental functional importance: the anti-codon, which is responsible for specific mRNA codon recognition, and the 3' end, to which the tRNAs corresponding amino acid is attached (by aminoacyl-tRNA synthetases). tRNAs cope with the degeneracy of the genetic code in two manners: having more than one tRNA (with a specific anti-codon) for a particular amino acid; and 'wobble' base-pairing, i.e. permitting non-standard base-pairing at the 3rd anti-codon position.
Source: RNAcentral